CAAAACGUAUGGGUGAGCCCAUGUCCGUGUACCAGGCCGUCUACCUUUUGAGCUGAGCCGUGGAACAAUUACGUCGGAGCGAACCUGAGCCGUUCUGGAAGCCUGCCGCCGGCACGGACGGCUGCCCUUCCCCAAGGCUGCGGGAGGCUGCGGUUCCUCCGGCGGCCGGCGAUGCAAGAUGCUGGGCUUGAAUCCUUCUGGAUGCGGUCGACCAGUUUCCGGUGCGAGCGGAGUUCGCGGACAGCCUGGAACAUCCAGAUCCGGUGGCUCUUAAGGUGCUCCCGCGACGUGAUGCCACCCCUGCUACGCCGGCGGAUUCGAAUGCUGGCUCCGGGUGCAGGCAGCACGUUGGUUGCGCUAGCCCUGGGAGGACGCAGGGUGAAAAUCGCUGUCGACGGCCGGGCUCUCCGACGAGGUCUGCGCAGUCCACCCACAGGGUAAAUCCAGAGGCGCCGGGAUGGACCAAAAGGUACAACUUGAAUCCUGUCCUGUCUAACUGUUACUAUUUUUUUAGCAAAUGGUGCGAUUUUCUUGUGCUAUGCUCGCUGAGAUGUUAGUGGUGUGUGUGAUUUGCCGAACAGAAAAGAUGAAAUUGCUAGUUCAUGUGAUGUAUGGUUGAGAUCAGUAGGAAAAGUUAUCCGCGGCAGCACUCGUUUGGGUCUGUUUCCUACCGAUGGUUAGUUACAUAUUUUGUUCUUGUUUGUAAAUUCAGUUUACAUCUUGGGAGUGUGCCACCGGACAGAACGCCGUGUCCAUAUAGAUGAGUGCUUUAGAGCAGUCAAUUCGCAAGUAUGCCCUGCUCCCCGCUCGUCGCAGUCCUGGCAUCCCGCUUGUCCCCACAUGCGUCGUCUUUCUGUCUCCGCCGGUGCCACCACUACUCCUUGCUCGUUGCUGCCAGUCGAGCAAGAUGUCCGGUGCUGCGGUGGACAAGCACAAGACGCCAACGGAGGAAGAGAAUAAGAAUCCGGCGUGGGAGGAUGAGGAGGACAAGGAUCAGGCGAGAAAGGAGGUGGUUAUAGGUCUGAUACUUAGCAUGAUUUAUUUUCAGUAUUCUCUGUAGUUUAUAAGCAGCAAAUGCCACCAGGGAAUGCUCCAUGUUGUAAGAAAUUUGUGAACUCUGAACCUAGUCAAGUGCUUCUACUACAAGCAACUGUUCCACUGAUUUUCUGAAACAGCAACUGUUACAAUGAAGAAAAAGCCAUCACUGGUUUGUCACAGCAGGUGGGUGCAGGAGAUGAUGAUGAUGCGCUGCUAAUAUUGGACUUGCCAGGGGUAAGCUCAUUUUCAUACUCAAGAAACAUGCUUGUGGCCCUAACAAGUAACACUACCUGACAUUUUCUUACUCUUAUGCACAUGGACAGUAUGUAUAAUGCCACCUGAAGCAUUUUGGUACUGCAUGUCAGUAUGUGUAAUGAUUUAUUUUUAGUAUUCUCUUUUCAGCAAAGGGUCAUUUUUGUGGCAGCCCAGAGAUAGGAAAACUGUGUCUAGUCAAGACCUGCUUAGCAACAAAGAGUAAGUGGCAUCUCCAGAGAAUUGAAGUUAAUAGAUACUAAAGUCCCCAUGCUACCUGCUUGUUUUAGUGAAAGGACCAAACCAAAUAUCCUUCAUUUUUAGUACUAGUACAUGCCACUCUUAAUUUUUAUAUAACCAUUAAUCUCAAUUGGUGAAGAUUAUUACUCCAUCUGUUCACUUUUGUAAGUCAUUUUAGGCAGCUGAAAUUAAACUGUUUUAAGUGCUGUCCUAAAUGUCUAGGACGUCUUAUAGAAGUGAACGGAGGGAGUAGUAUCAAUCUAUACACUAGCUUUUUUUCAUCAGUGCUCCCUAGCUGCAUGUCCCAGUUCAGUACACGUGCAUGUCCGCAUGUUUGCUAGCUGCAUGUAUUGUUAUUGGAACAAAUGAUCGGCAUGAAAAAGCUUGAUAUAAGCUACAAAGUAAAUUCCUGAAACUUUGUUCUAAUAUUCAGGACAGGUCUUCAGAGCAGCUGCCAUUGACUUGGAAAAGUUCAGGACUAAAAUUUGAUGUUCAGGAGAAUCAAAUUCAUCGUAAAUAAGGGGCUGCCAUUGACUUGUCCUUCAUCGCAAAGUUCAGGAGAAUCUGAAUGUAUGUUCAGAACUAUGAAAUCUGGUGUUCAAGCACAUGUUCAGGAUGUGAAAUCUGAAACCUGAAUCUGAUGUUUAAGCUAGCAGUGAUGUAUGCUCACUGAAAUUAUGUUAGUUUUAAAACUGCUCGUUGCUGCAUUUGAUAAACUGAAUCUAGCGCUGUAUCAAAUGGACCGAAGAUUUGCUUGUUGCUGCAAGUCUGAAUGUAGUUUUAACAUGAGGUAAUAUCACUGGUGGUCAUACAACUUGCGUUGGAUGUGCAGUUUAGUGCUAGAACUAUCAAAAUACGUUUUUCUGGUCAUACAACUUGCAUUUUGGUGCACAUACGGUCAUUCCCUCCGUAUCCGCCGCUGGCACGUAUGCACGGGGCCACUGUCAGUGAGCGAAAACAUACUGAAGCAACCCGCAUGUGGUAAACUUGCACGGACGCCCCUCAACUUGUUUCUAUGUGCGCAAAACAACCCCAAAAUCGCUGGCCUUUCAGUUUGACUCCCACCGCUUCGUUUCCUGAUCGUACAGAGGCAGAGGCUGAGGGGUCGGCGCGUCACGGCGGCCGUCGUCAGAGGAGAUGAGUGAACCGCGCCGUCGACGUCCGGGCGAAGUAGCGCCAUCGUAUGGUACGCCUGCCCCCUCGCUGGUCUCCGCCAUCUUGUUUUGUUCCUCUGCUCGCCGCUGUCUUCUUUGUGCCGUCGUCUUCCGUUGUGCCAAGUUAGGUUGGUGUCUACGCCCUUAGGGUUCUUGGCAGAUGUUCGAUCGCGCUAGGGUUCAACUCCCCUGUAGCCAUUAGAUUUCCAAGGUGAAACUCCCCUGUUUGCAAAUCGACCUAGGGUUUAGGAAGGGGUUAUGAAAGGACGCAGUUUUUUGUGUGUAAAAGUAUGAUAAAUUCGUUGUUUUCGCUAUGGUUUUAUGAUAUGAUCCUGUUUGGUUGGAUUAUGUAGCUGAAAUUGUGUGAUGUUUCCGAGAUGCAAAUAAUGUUGUUUGUACUCUGAAUUUCUGAAAAAAAAUGUAGUAAACUGAAUUUUUUUCACACUGAAGGCGUGUACUCUGAAUCUGGCACUUAAAUUGCUAUUUCAAGUAUGUGUGUUGUACUUGUAAGGAGAAUUAGGUGAAUAUGUUAACUGAAUAUCAAGUAUGUGUGUUGUACUUGUAAGGAGAAUUAGGUGAAUAUGUUAACUGAAUUUCAGGUGAUUUUGAUGGAGCUGUCAACCAAGAAUCACCUCUCUUCAUGCAGGCUGAAGAGGAGGUAAUUGUGAGCCAAAAUGCACCACAAGAUGCUCUGUUUCGUGAAGGCUGGCCCGAAGACCUGCAUGAUUUCCUUUUGUUGUAGUUUUCAUGACCGUGUGAUCAAGUUCAUGAAUGAACUUUUGUUAGGCAUGAAUGAUCAAGUUCAUCAAUGAUCAAGUUCAUCAAUGAUCAAGUUCAUGAAUGAACUGCUCCUUUUGAUGGGGUUAAGCACUGCUCCUUUUGAUCGCCUUUUUAUGUUAUCAAGACAAGUGAACUUGUAGUUUCGAGCAACAUAUAUUCCUGUUAAUUAUGGAUGAUGUUCUGUCA
Non-coding RNA from Triticum urartu, 3650 nucleotides. NCBI's taxonomy places the organism in Eukaryota, Viridiplantae, Streptophyta, Magnoliopsida, Poales, Poaceae. The record is from RefSeq and is a predicted model, not a curated record.